Non-coding RNA from Leptonychotes weddellii (Weddell seal), 1093 nucleotides. NCBI's taxonomy places the organism in Eukaryota, Metazoa, Chordata, Mammalia, Carnivora, Phocidae. The record is from RefSeq and is a predicted model, not a curated record.
CAGUGGGGUCCAAAGCCACCACCUGUUCAUCUGGCCCUUGGUUCAGAGCUGCAGCUGCCCCCUCCCGAAGAACCCCGUCCCGACCCCGCACCCAGCUGCCCCCACCCUCGGUCGUCCCCUGAAGCCCCGGCAGACCCUGCCAGCCGAAUCUGCACGGAACUGUGCCCGGACGUGGUGGCCACGCCUUGUGGAGGCAUCUGCACCUGUGGAAUAGGACCUGGGGCUGACCUUGGUGAGGACCACGGAGCCACGUCGGGACAGCGCUCCGUCCUAGUGCCGGCCAUGGGACAGUGAACCUCCGGUCCUGUUGACGUGAUCUGUCCGCCAUCCCGAGGCCUUGGACACCUGCCGGACGCUCCGAGGCCCCGCUGCCCUCUGCCCUUCAUGCUGUGCAGAAGGAACCUGGGGUCCUGCCCGCCCAGCCCCCCGUGAAAAGCAAAAGGAGCUCACUAUGCACCGGCCAAAGCCGAAAUUAAAAUGAGCCCCUCCUGCGAAGGGGGAACCAGCCUUGCUGAGAAGAUGUAAUUUAGCUGCAGAAAGAACUCCCGCUGGCUAGAAAUCCCACCGCAAGGAGCUGGCAAAACGAACCCUUUGUCUGAGGUGUUCCUUCCACGGUGGAGGCUUUCAGAACCUGAGCAGUUGCUGCCCGAGCACGCAACAAAGAAAAUUACUCCGGGCCAGGCUGGGGUUAGGGUGGGUGGGCAGCACGGAGGCCCAGCCCGAAGUCAGGCCUCUGGGCUAACGCUCUGCGCUCAGGGACCUCGGUGGUCUCAGGGUUCUCCACAAGGCUGGGGAAGGUGUGCGAUGGUCUGGGCGAGGGGCCUGCAGGUGGUGAGGGGAGGGGACGUGGGCGCAGGGACGUCCCAAGGCCCUUUCCUGGAGCUGUCAAGUGUCCCAGCAGCUCCCUUGAGGCCCCGGUGUCUGGGAGCCCUGAGGGGAGCCCUGGCCCAGCCCAGGCAUGGGGUUUUCACAGCCCGCCGGGAAAGCAAAGGGCUACCGCCGCCUUCACUGCUCGCUCGGGAACACCGGGGAGCCCAUCAGAAAACCCCUUCCCGGGCGCCUGGGUGGCUCAGUCGGUUGGGCGACUGCCUUC